This 1019-nucleotide long non-coding RNA is filed under the name Capra hircus (goat). Its description in RNAcentral is "lncRNA (ENSCHIG00010007415.1)". Lineage: Eukaryota; Metazoa; Chordata; Mammalia; Artiodactyla; Bovidae. The record is from RNAcentral.
CAUCGACACAAAUGCUGCCUAUUAUCAGUGUGCAGUCAUGAAAUUUAUUUUCCUUCACCAGUAGUCAACACUGGUCCACACUGGUCAACGGGCAUUUUGGGGCUUGUUUUCUUGAUUGAAUCUAAGAGUGAAAACCAAACUAACAUUGGGAGACAACCAAACUGAACACAAUGGAAAUAAAAGCGUGAACUGUGUAUUUUCAGGUCCUCGGGAGUAGGCAAGGCUGGAGUGGGCCAGGGCUUGAAGGGUGAGUUAGCAUUUCUUAAAGAGCAAAGAUCUGGGAGAAAAAGGAAUCAGCGGGAGCGAAGGCUUGGAAGAGCCAUGGGUAUGGCUCAGAAUUUGGAAGUGAAAAUUAUGGAGGUUCUAGGAGCUGCAUCAUUCUGACUGGAACUCACAGGGUUCACUUUUGGGUAGUCAUUAACAUUUACUAGGUGACCUAAUAACGUAUUCAUGUAAUGGAAGGUUUGCUUAAGGUUUUGCUUAACAGAGCUAAGUAGGUUUUCUCUGUUCCUAAACUCUGUCUUCAGUGUAUAUUAUAGUGAAUGGACUCAGGGAAGAUUUCAUUGGAGGUAUCUUUGCCAAUAACUCCAGAACAAACCUCCUCUUAAGAAAAACCCCAAAGGGAGAUGUAUAGGAAAUUGUAAAUUGAAGUAAGUUACGACACCCUUCUUCAGUUUCACAACAAGUAUUGGGCUUUCAUUCACCUAACCACGUUUCUCUGGAAUUUUUUUGCCUUAGGCUGAAAGCUACGGGGAAAUUCUUUACCCUACAGUCUCCUUAAGAACAGAGUCUUCUCUUUAAAACAUGCCCUCACCUGUCUCCCUGCUAAAUAAAUGACUUCCUGCUCUUUUGUAUCCGUGGUUAAUUUUUAUUUCUUCUAAUGUUGUUUUGUUUGGGGUUAUACUUUUUCUACAGUGUGAUAUUUAAGGGGAUCCUAUUAUCAAGUAAAUUUGAAUUUCAUGAAAUUACUGAUAGUUGACCACUUUUUUAAUCUACAAAAAAAUGACAGUUUCAUAUUG